AGUGAACGCUGGCGGUAGGCCUAACACAUGCAAGUCGAACGGCAGCACAGUAAGAGCUUGCUCUUACGGGUGGCGAGUGGCGGACGGGUGAGGAAUACAUCGGAAUCUACUUUUUCGUGGGGGAUAACGUAGGGAAACUUACGCUAAUACCGCAUACGACCUACGGGUGAAAGCAGGGGAUCUUCGGACCUUGCGCGAUUGAAUGAGCCGAUGUCGGAUUAGCUAGUUGGCGGGGUAAAGGCCCACCAAGGCGACGAUCCGUAGCUGGUCUGAGAGGAUGAUCAGCCACACUGGAACUGAGACACGGUCCAGACUCCUACGGGAGGCAGCAGUGGGGAAUAUUGGACAAUGGGCGCAAGCCUGAUCCAACCAUACCGCGUGGGUGAAGAAGGCCUUCGGGUUGUAAAGCCCCUUUGUUGGGAAAGAAAAGCAGCAGGUUAAUACCCCGCUGUUCUGACGGUACCCAAAGAAUAAGCACCGGCUAACUUCGUG
This 492-nucleotide ribosomal RNA is filed under the name uncultured bacterium. RNAcentral describes it as "partial 16S ribosomal RNA". It matches the Rfam family "Bacterial small subunit ribosomal RNA", at positions 29 to 507 of the family's 1533-position model. The record is from RNAcentral.